UUUUUUUUAUUUGUUUGUUUCUUCUAUUUGGUGAAUUGGUUGAGCUGACUUGGGUUUUUUCCUUCUUUGUCUGUGCAGUGAUAAGAGGCUUUGAAGAAUUUGAAUGGAGCACAACCCCACUGUCUGUGUCCUGGCAUCGUCGCGGCAUCUCUGUUGUCUACAUUCCUGGAGGUUCGUGGGCUGCCGCCGCUGCCUCCUCCUCGACCCUCAUUAGGAAGAGCAUGAGGUGCCGCCAAACUGCGACAGACGGCGAGCAUGAGCCACCAGCACACCACACCAUAGGGUAUAUUGUUUUCACAAUUUUAUUUAGCUUUACCACAAGUAAAAACUGGAUAUACAAAAGCAUUGUAAUGUAAAAUUUUAGUCUAGAGAAGCAGUUUUUCUUACAUGUACUGUCAGCUCCUAUUUUUAUGUCCAGUUAAUUAAUCAUCAACAUUAAACACUAAUUAUAUUUUUCAUGGGAUCCUUCCAGUUGACCAAUGUAUGCAUGCUUAAAA
Long non-coding RNA from Lolium rigidum, 497 nucleotides. RefSeq lists it as uncharacterized. The transcript has 2 exons. The record is from RefSeq and is a predicted model, not a curated record. Lineage: Eukaryota; Viridiplantae; Streptophyta; Magnoliopsida; Poales; Poaceae.